This is a non-coding RNA of Vicugna pacos (alpaca), 436 nucleotides long. Lineage: Eukaryota; Metazoa; Chordata; Mammalia; Artiodactyla; Camelidae. The record is from RefSeq and is a predicted model, not a curated record.
GGGUCCCUGUGAGGAUCAUGGUGCCUUCAGGCAGUGGGAAGUGAGGGGUCCAGUGGCACUUAAAUUAACUGUGCACCCGAAGCCAAUCCCCGUCUCUUUCAGCCUGUUUCCUAAUCUGCAAAACUGGAAUGAUGCUAACCAUCCCGCAGUGCAUUCCAUAGUGCAUCCUCGCCUAGAAUUGAGUGGAAGCAAGUCCAUCUCAGAAGGGGCAUAACUGAAGAGGAAAGGCUUUCCAGACUCUGAAGGGCAGAGAAAGCACCAGCGUGGGUUAGAGAAAGAGAACAGCAACUCUGAGCCCGUCCUGGGUGACCUCACAGAGAUCACCCUAGUGGCCCAGGCUAGUGACUGGGAACAUGUACCUUCCUGCAGCCAACCCCAGACGUCCACUGAUGCAUCAUAUACUGGCAAAGACGUGAGUCCCUGUGCAUUGGUCUAA